AUGCGUCCGCUCGACGAGAAGGAGACCACGAUGGUCUUGGAGAAGCUCUUCAAGUUCACCGGCCCCAACCUGAAGCACCUCCUGGAGCGGCCCUCCGCGGAGGGCCCCGACCCGGAGCCCGGCAGCUACUGCCUCCGCCUCCACAAGAACCGCGUCUUCUAUGCCUCUAAGUCGCUCGUCCGUCGCGCCUCGCCGAGGUCGGCACGCCCAUCGAUCGGCAAGUUCACCCAUGGCGGCGCUUUCCACUGUGGGUGUUACAUCCACCUCACCAUCCACGCGCUCGACCUCCUCGCCGCCCAUGCGUGCUGCCGCAUCUGGCUGAAGCCCGACACGGAGCGUUCGUUCCUCUUCGGCAACUCCGUGCCCAAGUCCGCGCUCGCGCGCAUCACCGAGAACACCAAGUCGCGGUCAUUGGACGUAUCAAUGUCCAUGGCCGACGUGCCGCUCAGGUUUGAGGUCGCCGCUAGGGGCGCGCAGGACUGCAGGAAGGCCGACACCAACGGCGUGGUGGUGCUCCACCAGUCCGACGACGACGAGUACCUCCGCAAGGAGGAGGAGCUCAUGUGA
RNAcentral lists this ribosomal RNA (567 nucleotides) under Triticum aestivum (bread wheat). RNAcentral's name for it is "partial small subunit ribosomal RNA". The record is from RNAcentral. Lineage: Eukaryota; Viridiplantae; Streptophyta; Magnoliopsida; Poales; Poaceae.